AGUGGCGGACGGGUGAGUAACGCGUGAGAAUCUGCCUUGGGGUCGGGGACAACCACUGGAAACGGUGGCUAAUACCGGAUAAGCCGAUUGGUGAAAGAUUUAUUGCCCGAAGAGGAGCUCGCGUCUGAUUAGCUAGUUGGUGAGGUAAGAGCUCACCAAGGCAGCGAUCAGUAGCUGGUCUGAGAGGACGAUCAGCCACACUGGGACUGAGACACGGCCCAGACUCCUACGGGAGGCAGCAGUGGGGAAUUUUCCGCAAUGGGCGAAAGCCUGACGGAGCAAGACCGCGUGAGGGAGGAAGGCUCUUGGGUUGUAAACCUCUUUUCUCAGGGAAGAAGCUCUGACGGUACCUGAGGAAUCAGCCUCGGCUAACUCCGUGCCAGCAGCCGCGGUAAUACGGAGGAGGCAAGCGUUAUCCGGAAUUAUUGGGCGUAAAGCGUCCGCAGGUGGCGAUUCAAGUCUGCUGUCAAAGCACGGGGCUUAACUCCGUAAAGGCAGUGGAAACUGAAUAGCUAGAGUGCCGUAGGGGUAGAGGGAAUUCCCGGUAUAGCGGUGAAAUGCGUAGAGAUCGGGAAGAACAUCGGUGGCGAAAGCGCUCUACUGGACGGCAACUGACACUCAGGGACGAAAGCUAGGGGAGCGAAUGGGAUUAGAUACCCC
RNAcentral lists this ribosomal RNA (660 nucleotides) under uncultured bacterium. RNAcentral's name for it is "bacterial SSU rRNA". It matches the Rfam family "Bacterial small subunit ribosomal RNA", at positions 94 to 788 of the family's 1533-position model. The record is from RNAcentral.